CAGAAGCUAACCCAUUUAUAAAGUGUACAUUUGUUAAUGAAAAGGUUAGUACAAUCCAGUCUGAUGAUGACGUCACUGGAUUUCAGACGUAGGACUGAAGCAAAGCAUGAAAUAGCAUGAACGAGGACUCCUGCCCCAUGACUGCGUUGUUUUAAAUAACUGAAGUUUGGUGGCCAUGCUGUCAGGUGUUUGGAUUCUCAGUACUGGACCAGAUGUAGCGAGUGUCCUUCCUGACCAUCGGGGGAAGUUGUGAACAAAUUGCUAAAUGGUGCAUCAGAAUGAAGAAGGCGCAAAAAAUACACUCGGAAGAGUCACAUAAAGUGUGGCUCAUGUCCCAUCCACUAACACGGAGGAGGCGGGACUCGUGACCUGUACUGCCACCAGCCACCUGGGAGCUCUUGGCCUGUCCGUUGUUUUUAUAGUCGUUGCUGUCAGCUAAAGCCAAGUUGGAAAAACUAUUUACAAAUGCUACACAUGGUGUCUUUAAAUGACCUUAUCUACAAUAUAUCUACUGGAAAAAUGUAAAACAGUAGGAACUGCUGUCAUGACCUGAAGGUGUCCAGGCAUUCAACAAUGUGACAACAACAGGUUGUCAUAGACCCCUGGUGGUCUACAAAGGCAUGGCAGGUGGUCCCUGACCAUGCGUUCAGUAAUGUAGUUUCACUGUAGGCAUACAAUUUUUAAAACGCAUUUCCAUGUGUUAAUUAUAGUUGUGAAUAAUCAGAUUCAUGCAAAUAUAGAGAAUUUUGAAAAACCAAAGUGACUUUCAGGAUUUAAACAGUGUCCAUCCAGUCUAGUCACCCCACUACAGUGGUCCUAAAGUUGUCAGAACGCUGGUCCCUGAGUCCAGUUAGUUGACAACUCCUGAUUUAAGCAAAUGCAGUUAUUACCCUCUGAUAUGUAUUUCAUGGUUUCAUGUGUUUGUUUUCUCAGCAUUUUAAAAUUUUAAGAACUAUGUGUU
Molecule: long non-coding RNA, 961 nt
Organism: Monopterus albus (swamp eel)
Lineage: Eukaryota; Metazoa; Chordata; Actinopteri; Synbranchiformes; Synbranchidae
Exons: 3
Source: RefSeq, a predicted model, not a curated record